GGAAUUUUGGACAAUGGGCGCAAGCCUGAUCCAGCCAUGCCGCGUGUGUGAAGAAGGCCUUCGGGUUGUAAAGCACUUUCGGCCGGAACGAAAUCGCGCGGGUGAACAAUCCGCGUGGAUGACGGUACCGGAAGAAGAAGCACCGGCUAACUCCGUGCCAGCAGCCGCGGUAAUACGGAGGGUGCGAGCGUUAAUCGGAAUUACUGGGCGUAAAGCGCGCGUAGGCGGCUAAGUAAGCCGGUUGUGAAAGCCCCGGGCUCAACCUGGGAACGGCAUCCGGAACUGUUUAGCUAGAGUGCAGGAGAGGAAGGUAGAACUCCCGGUGUAGCGGUGAAAUGCGUAGAGAUCGGGAGGAAUACCAGUGGCGAAGGCGGCCUUCUGGACUGACACUGACGCUGAGGUGCGAAAGCGUGGGUAGCA
RNAcentral lists this ribosomal RNA (420 nucleotides) under uncultured bacterium. Its description in RNAcentral is "bacterial SSU rRNA". It matches the Rfam family "Bacterial small subunit ribosomal RNA", at positions 358 to 770 of the family's 1533-position model. The record is from RNAcentral.